Molecule: long non-coding RNA, 833 nt
Filed under: Homo sapiens (human)
Lineage: Eukaryota; Metazoa; Chordata; Mammalia; Primates; Hominidae
Description: C1RL antisense RNA 1
Source: RNAcentral
GCCCUCUGGAGCCUUGAUGUCCGUGCUGCUCUCUUGGCCUUUGCCAUACGGCUCUGGGUACCCGGGGGAUGUCAGCUGCUGGGGUAGCUCUUGGGCCAAGAGGACGGAGCCCCGGGUUGGGCAAGCCUGGAGGACUCCCCAGAGAAGCAGCCACCACCUAUGGGACCGUCUAGUUGCAAGAAAACAAGCUCAGGGCUCCCACUGAUUCUACAUUACGGGCUGUGGGUUCCUUGAGGGAGGAAUUUUGUCCUGCAGGCUGUGGCAGCCCUAGGACUCAGCACAUCUAGGUGUCCACCUGCGUCUGUGGAAGAAGAAGAAGAAGAGGAGGAGGAGGAGGAGGAAGAAGAAAGAUGAUGGUUUACCUGCCUGGACAGCAAGAUGAUGGCUACACUAGCCCCCAUUCUCUGGUCAGUUAUAUCACAGUCCUUCACAGGGCGCCUGGAUUUGCCCACCAGAUCUCCUCACCUCUUGCCCUUCACCUCCUGCUGUACCUACAAGGUCUCCCCGAUUCUCAUCUGCCCAUAAUCAUGGACACAGCCCCAGGAUGUGCAGGGUCGAGCUCCCACCCUCUUGGAAAUGCCUCUGAAGCUGCAUAGUCCUCCCCUGAUGCUUGUGCUCCCUUAGGGGAUCUCCAGGCCUUUGGGUGUGGUCUGGCCCCUGGAGAAGUGUGGUCGAGUGGAGGAUGGGGUCCUGCAGUGGCCAUGUUCUGGACGCCCACAUCACGGGGAGUUUUGAGGGAUUGAGCCCACUUUAGCUUGGGUCUUAAAACCACCAUGGUAAGAAGUGUCAACCUUUGGGGGAAAAAUAAAAAUAUAUAGAAAUAUUUAGAAAAA